Molecule: small nucleolar RNA, 135 nt
Organism: Xenopus tropicalis (tropical clawed frog)
Lineage: Eukaryota; Metazoa; Chordata; Amphibia; Anura; Pipidae
Source: Ensembl
UUUCCCAUUUUAGUACCGCUUUUUUGCCUUUCAAAACAAGCGGCUAUGCUAAUGGGAUAGAGAAAAUUGCUAUGGUCUGAAAGGGAAGUUGAUUUGUUGCAGCUUUCCUCAUAUGAAAUAGCAGUACAUAUUUCA